This 68-nucleotide transfer RNA is filed under the name Elodes marginata. RNAcentral describes it as "tRNA-Tyr". The record is from RNAcentral. Lineage: Eukaryota; Metazoa; Arthropoda; Insecta; Coleoptera; Scirtidae.
GGUGAAAUGGCUGAAGUUAGGCAAUAAAUUGUAAAUUUAUUUAUGAAUCAAAAAAAAUUCUUUUACCA